Molecule: ribosomal RNA, 283 nt
Filed under: uncultured bacterium
Lineage: Bacteria
Description: partial 16S ribosomal RNA
Rfam family: Bacterial small subunit ribosomal RNA
Source: RNAcentral
GCCGCGUUAAUACGUAGGGUGCAAGCGUUAAUCGGAAUUACUGGGCGUAAAGCGUGCGCAGGCGGUCCGCUAAGACAGAUGUGAAAUCCCCGGGCUUAACCUGGGAACUGCAUUUGUGACUGGCGGGCUAGAGUAUGGCAGAGGGGGGUAGAAUUCCACGUGUAGCAGUGAAAUGCGUAGAGAUGUGGAGGAAUACCGAUGGCGAAGGCAGCCCCCUGGGCCAAUACUGACGCUCAUGCACGAAAGCGUGGGGAGCAAACAGGAUUAGAAACCCCAGUAGUCC